GACAGAGGUGCCGAGCGUUAGGCGGAAUCACUGGGCUUAAAGCGUGUGUAGGCGGAUCGUUAAGUGCCUUGUGAAAUCCCACGGCUCAACCGUGGAACUGCUUGGCAUACUGGCGAUCUUGAGCCACUUAGGGGCUACCGGAACAAAUGGUGGAGCGGUGAAAUGCGUAGAUAUCAUUUGGAACGCCAAUGGUGAAAACAGCUCGCUGGGAAUGAUCUGACGCUGAGACGCGAAAGCCAGGGGAGCGAACGGG
This 253-nucleotide ribosomal RNA is filed under the name uncultured bacterium. Its description in RNAcentral is "partial 16S ribosomal RNA". It matches the Rfam family "Bacterial small subunit ribosomal RNA", at positions 524 to 776 of the family's 1533-position model. The record is from RNAcentral.